AACACUAGAGAUACCUAAUACUAACUUCUAGGCUUCCACAACACUCCUGAAUAUGCAUGUUUACAAGCAUGCACAUGCACAAACUACUGAACAUGUGUAUAUGCAUCUACACGCAAGCCACAUGCAUGCACAUACACACACACACACACAGACCAAACAAAAAACCUUGUGUGCUGCUGAAUUGAGCACUGCACAACACAUAGUUACAGGGGAAAAGGGCAGAAUGUUUGCCAUGUGUGCAAUAUCAAGCUUUUGUAAUAAAAUGUGAGGAGAAUUUUUGUGCUUUCCUUUGUGUUGUCAGAUCAACUGCUAAAAGUGUGGGUACUGAUAAUUUAAUUUUGUCCCAAAUAAGAAGUUCCACUCAGCUCUUUCUCAUGUUCAUUACCAUUCCAUCACUUUCAACAUAUGUAUAAUUUCCUAUACAUAUUCAGAAUGUUUCCUUCAUCAGAACUGUUUCUCCUUCCUCUAACAUCUAGAGAAUGUUCAUUCUUUAUAGCUCUUUGGUAAAGAUAGUUUAUUGCUUCAUAAUAUAACCUCUAUUUACCUAAUGAACGCUUGUUGCUGCACUUGUUACUUUCUGCCUUCCUCUGUAGACUGUUUUCCUUACAACUAGGAGGUUUUAAGGAAACCUGGUGUCUGCCAUAUUGCUGAUAUUUCAUGAACUCUUACUAUGUGGUGGUUUAAAACGAAUGGUACUUCCUGAUGCCAGCAUAAUUGGUUUAUGAACUUACCAGGCAAAGUAUGGUAAACUUACAUGCAUGCAGUGGGUAGAGUGCUAGUGUUCAGAUAGGGUUUCUCUAUCUAGGUAUUCUUGUACUGCCUUGGUCCCCAGGAUAGCAGUAUGGAAGUAGUAAAAUCUUUUAAGAGAUGGGGCCCAGUGGGAGGUGACCAGGUCUUAAGAGGGAUUGAUGCCUUUGUCAUGAGUGUAUAUGCUUCCUCUCACAGGGAGCUGACAAGAAAGCAGGUACUCCUAUUUCUUUAUGGUGCUGCUGGUCAAUCUUGAAUGUUCUUCCACCAAUUUUAUGCUAUCUACUGUGAUACUCCCUAGAAGCAAGUAAAGGCCAAUCAUACUCUUGAGUUUCCUUAAAUGUGAUCUAAAUAAAACUUUUUUAUAAAAU
This 1118-nucleotide long non-coding RNA is filed under the name Rattus norvegicus (Norway rat). Its description in RNAcentral is "long non-coding RNA NONRATT023322". Lineage: Eukaryota; Metazoa; Chordata; Mammalia; Rodentia; Muridae. The record is from RNAcentral.